UAGGGAAUCUUCGGCAAUGGACGAAAGUCUGACCGAGCAACGCCGCGUGAGUGAAGAAGGUUUUCGGUUCGUAAAACUCUGUUGUUAGAGAAGAACAAGGACGUUAGUAACUGAAUGUCACCUGGCGGUAUCUAACUAGAAAGCCACGGCUAACUACGUGCCAGCAGCCGCGGGAAUACGUUGGUGGCAAGCGUUGUCCGGAUUUAUUGGGCGUAAAGCGAGCGCAGGCGGUUUAUUAAGUAUGAUGUGAAAGCCCCCGGCUCAACCGGGGAGGGUCAUUGGAAACUGGGAGACUUGAGUGCAGGAGAGGAAAGUGGAAUUCCAUGUGUAGCGGUGAAAUGCGUAGAUAUAUGGAGGAAAACCAGUGGCGAAGGCGGCUCUCUGGUCUGUAACUGACGCUGAGGAUCGAAAGCGUGGGGAGCAAACAGG
RNAcentral lists this ribosomal RNA (429 nucleotides) under Gemmatimonadota bacterium. Its description in RNAcentral is "Gemmatimonadetes bacterium partial 16S ribosomal RNA". It matches the Rfam family "Bacterial small subunit ribosomal RNA", at positions 355 to 776 of the family's 1533-position model. Lineage: Bacteria; Pseudomonadati; Gemmatimonadota. The record is from RNAcentral.